GGCUUCGUGGUCUAGUGGUAUGAUUCUCGCUUUGGGUGUGAGAGGUCCCGAGUUCAAUCCUCGGCGGAGCCC
Transfer RNA from Rozella allomycis CSF55, 72 nucleotides. It matches the Rfam family "tRNA". From Rfam's summary of the family: Transfer RNA (tRNA) molecules are approximately 80 nucleotides in length. Their secondary structure includes four short double-helical elements and three loops (D, anti-codon, and T loops). Further hydrogen bonds mediate the characteristic L-shaped molecular structure. tRNAs have two regions of fundamental functional importance: the anti-codon, which is responsible for specific mRNA codon recognition, and the 3' end, to which the tRNAs corresponding amino acid is attached (by aminoacyl-tRNA synthetases). tRNAs cope with the degeneracy of the genetic code in two manners: having more than one tRNA (with a specific anti-codon) for a particular amino acid; and 'wobble' base-pairing, i.e. permitting non-standard base-pairing at the 3rd anti-codon position. NCBI's taxonomy places the organism in Eukaryota, Fungi, Rozellomycota. The record is from Rfam.